UGUGGAUUCGAUCCUUCACCACUAUCUGCAGUUGUAAAUUAUUGAUAACCAAGAAGGUUAUUUUUUACCGGCUUCGACAACCGCGAGUCAUUGGGUAACAUUUUGAACUCCAAUUCAUGUUUCUCUAUGGCUAGCUGUAAUUUGGUACUGAAUUCAGGCAAAACAAACUCUACCUUAUCCGGAGGUUUGGGAAGGCAUUGAUCUGCAUGCUCCUUUGGUUUAGGUGCUUGGAACACCAUUUGUUUCUUGUGAGCAUGGGCUAUUUGCAUUGGAAGGCUGAAAGGAGUUUCAGAUUGCUCCUUCUGCGCAAGAUCUGACUGAAAGGGGAGCUGAAGAGUGGUCAGAUUAGGCGGCCGAAAGAUGGCUGAGUUUGGCUGCCGAAGGAUGGUUUGAGUUUGCGAUGGGAGUUGAGGUGCAGGGUCCGGCGGCCGAAAGAUGGUGGAGUUCGGCGGCCGAAAAGUCAUGCUUCAGUUUGCACAAGUCCUUCCUGAAGUGGUGCGACAGAGCUCUCUUCAGUCUGUGCUUGGCUGCAGUUCACCUGAUGGAUGCAACAGUCAGUUUCUUUCAAUUCUGGCUCUUUCUGAGUCUCUUCCCUGCAAAGAUCAUCAUCUAGUAUAUCAUCUUGAUUUACAUAAAAAAACAUUUUCACUCAAACAAUCAAUGAUAUCUAAAUUGUCAAUAGGUUCUGUUUGAUCAGUUUGUUUGGACAAACAGUUUUCUGGUUGUGUUUCUUCAGCAGCUUGUUCUUGUACUUGUGGACUUUCAUCAUCUUCCUCAUCACCUUGAAAUUCUUCCUCAUAUCUCAUUAGCUGUCCCACCUGUUGUUGGAGAGUCUGCACAGAGGUC
Molecule: long non-coding RNA, 846 nt
Filed under: Manihot esculenta (cassava)
Lineage: Eukaryota; Viridiplantae; Streptophyta; Magnoliopsida; Malpighiales; Euphorbiaceae
Description: long non-coding RNA (MESC_LNC004304)
Source: RNAcentral